GGAAUAUUGGGCAAUGGGCGCAAGCCUGACCCAGCAACGCCGCGUGAAUGAAGAAGGUUUUCGGAUUGUAAAGUUCUGUGAUGGGGGACGAAGACAGUGACGGUACCCCAAUAGCAAGCUACGGCUAACUACGUGCCAGCAGCCGCGGUAAUACGUAGGUAGCGAGCGUUGUCCGGAAUGACUGGGCGUAAAGGGUGCGUAGGUGGUAUGACAAGUUGGUAGUGAAAUUCCGAGGCUUAACUUCGGCGCUACUACCAAGACUGUUAAACUUGAGUACAGGAGAGGUAAGUGGAAUUCCUAGUGUAGCGGUGGAAUGCGUAGAUAUUAGGAGGAACACCAGAGGCGAAGGCGACUUACUGGCCUGCAACUGACACUGAGGCACGAAAGCGUGGGGAGCAAACA
RNAcentral lists this ribosomal RNA (402 nucleotides) under uncultured bacterium. Its description in RNAcentral is "bacterial SSU rRNA". It matches the Rfam family "Bacterial small subunit ribosomal RNA", at positions 358 to 774 of the family's 1533-position model. The record is from RNAcentral.